AUGGUGGUGUUAAUUGGAAUAUCUUUAACUUUAUUAUGGUAAGCUGGUUAUUACUAUUUAAAUGCUUAUAUAAUUAUGACUGUGAUGAUGAGUAUGAUUAUGGAGUACCGAUGAGAAUUGGAUUGUAAUAUGGACUGAAAUUUAUGAUAAGGAGCAAGAUUAAGGAUGUUAAUAUGAAUGGUGCUAGGAAUCGAUUGAUUCAUAAAUGGUUAACUAUGGGUUCGUACCAUUAUAAUAAUAGUAUUAAGAAUGGACAUAUGUAGUGUUAGUGGAAUUUAUAUAAGUGUAUAACUAGGUAGAUGGAUUUCAAGUAAGAGACAGGUGAAUGUUGAUUCACUAAACACUUUUUGUACAAGUCUUCAUUGUUAACUUAUUUUCAGGUGAAAUCUCAUCAAAUGGUUGCAGAUUAGUGUGGACCCCUGUAGCCCAGCAAGCUCUGAACAGAAGAGAAGUACAGGUUGAGGUCUACUCUAUCUUAGAAUAGAUACUCUGGAAGGAGGACUUCCUUAUGUAUUAAGUUUGAUAUUGAUGUUGUAGUUUGAUGUUGCA
Molecule: long non-coding RNA, 549 nt
Organism: Ipomoea triloba (trilobed morning glory)
Lineage: Eukaryota; Viridiplantae; Streptophyta; Magnoliopsida; Solanales; Convolvulaceae
Exons: 2
Source: RefSeq, a predicted model, not a curated record